UAGCGUUAUGAUAGAUUACCGGAGGUAGAGCACUGAAUGGGCUAGGGGCCGCGAGGUUACUGAACCCUAUCAAACUUCAAAUGCCGGAUAAUUGUUUCAUGGCAGUCAGACUGUGUGAGAUAAGUCGCAUAGUCAAAAGGGAAACAGCCCAGAUCUACAGCUAAGGUCCCAAAUGAAUACUAAGUGGAAAAUGAUGUGAAAUUGCUAAGACAACCAGGAUGUUGGCUUAGAAGCAGCCACUCAUUCAAAGAGUGCGUAAUAACUCACUGUUCGAGUGGUUUUGCGCAGAAAAUGUAACGGGGCUAAGUGUUCAACCGAAGCUUAGGCAUUGCAGUAAUGCAUUGGGUAGGGGAGCGUCGUAUGCGGGGUGAAGUCAGAGCGGAAGCACUGGUGGACUGCAUACGAGUGAGAAUGCCGGAAUAAGUAGCGAGAAUUAUGUGAGAAUCAUAAUGGCCGAAAAUCUAAGGUUUCUUGGGGAAGGUUCGUCCGCCCAAGGUUAGUCGGGAGCUAAGCUCAGGCCGAAAGGCGUAGGCGAUGCACAUACGGUAGAAAUUCCGUAACCACCGAACAUUUAAGCUAGAGGGACGCUUUCUUUAAGGUUAUCCCGGGCGAUGGUUGCCCCGGGCGUAAGGGACCGAAAUAAUAGUAGGGAAGUAGAAGGCGCGAGUGGCGAGAAAAGUCUGGCGUAUUGCUGAGGUGCCCGUACCGCAAACCGACACAGGUAGAUGGGAUGAGUAUUCUAAGGCCAACGGGAGAAGGGUUGUUAAGGAACUCGGCAAAUUGGCCCCGUAACUUCGGGAUAAGGGGCGCCUGCGAGAGCAGGCCGCAGUGAAAAGGCCCAAGCGACUGUUUAGCAAAAACACAGCUCUCUGCUAAAUCGAAAGAUGACGUAUAGGGGGUGACGCCUGCCCGGUGCUGGAAGGUUAAGGGGAGUGCUUAGCGCAAGCGAAGGUGCGAACUUAAGCCCCAGUAAACGGCGGCCGUAACUAUAACGGUCCUAAGGUAGCGAAAUUCCUUGUCAGGUAAGUUCUGACCCGCACGAAUGGCGUAACGACUUGAGAGCUGUCUCAACAACAUACCCGGCGAAAUUGAAGUACUGGUAAAGAUGCCAGUUACCCGUGAUAAGACGGAAAGACCCCAUGGAGCUUUACUGUAACUUGAUAUUGAAUUUUUGUAUUACAUGUACAGGAUAGGUGGGAGACAGAGAACUAAUGCCGCCAGGUGUUAGGGAGUCGAUGUUGGGAUACCACUCUUGUAAUAUGAAGGUUCUAACCUGCACCCGUGAAUCCGGGUGGGGGACACUGUCAGGUGGACAGUUUGACUGGGGCGGUCGCCUCCUAAAAGGUAACGGAGGCGUUCAAAGGUUGGUUCAGCACGGACGGAAAUCGUGCAACGAGUGCAAACGCAUAAACCAGCCUAACUGCGAGACCGACAAGUCGAGCAGUAACGAAAGUUGGAGUUAGUGAUCCGGCGGUAUGAGAGUGGAAUUGCCGUCGCUCAACGGAUAAAAGCUACCCUGGGGAUAACAGGCUGAUCUCCCCCAAGAGUCCACAUCGACGGGGAGGUUUGGCACCUCGAUGUCGGCUCAUCGCAUCCUGGAGCUGAAGUCGGUUCCAAGGGUUGGGCUGUUCGCCCAUUAAAGCGGUACGCGAGCUGGGUUCAGAACGUCGCGAGACAGUUCGGUCCCUAUCUAUCACGGGCGUAGGAAAUUUGAGGAGAGCUGACCUUAGUACGAGAGGACCGGGUUGGACGUACCGCUGGUGCACCUGUUGUUCUGCCAAGGGCAUAGCAGGGUAGCUAAGUACGGACGGGAUAAACGCUGAAGGCAUCUAAGCGUGAAGCCCCCUUCGAGAUAAGAUUUCCCAUAGCGUAGGCUAGU
This 1879-nucleotide ribosomal RNA is filed under the name human gut metagenome. Its description in RNAcentral is "bacterial LSU rRNA". It matches the Rfam family "Bacterial large subunit ribosomal RNA", at positions 877 to 2829 of the family's 2925-position model. The record is from RNAcentral.